AUACUUACCCAGCAGGGAAGACACGCUAAUCAAGAAGGUGUUUUUUCACAGUGAGGCUCAUCCCUUGCUGAACCAUGUAAUCUUCCCAAAUGCAGGAAACUUGACUGCACCAUUUGUGGUAAGGUGGGCUAUGUUCACUCUCUUC
This 145-nucleotide small nuclear RNA is filed under the name Dromaius novaehollandiae (emu). Its description in RNAcentral is "U1 spliceosomal RNA (ENSDNVG00000000609.1)". It matches the Rfam family "U1 spliceosomal RNA". From Rfam's summary of the family: U1 is a small nuclear RNA (snRNA) component of the spliceosome (involved in pre-mRNA splicing). Its 5' end forms complementary base pairs with the 5' splice junction, thus defining the 5' donor site of an intron. Lineage: Eukaryota; Metazoa; Chordata; Aves; Casuariiformes; Dromaiidae. The record is from RNAcentral.